GAUGAACGCUAGCUACAGGCUUAACACAUGCAAGUCGAGGGGCAGCAUGGUCUUAGCUUGCUAAGGCCGAUGGCGACCGGCGCACGGGUGAGUAACACGUAUCCAACCUGCCGUCUACUCUUGGACAGCCUUCUGAAAGGAAGAUUAAUACAAGAUGGCAUCAUGAGUCCGCAUGUUCACAUGAUUAAAGGUAUUCCGGUAGACGAUGGGGAUGCGUUCCAUUAGAUAGUAGGCGGGGGAACGGCCCACCUAGUCUUCGAUGGGGAGGGGUUAUGAGAGGGAGGUACCCCACAUUGGAACUGCGACACGGUCCAAACUCCUACGGGAGGCAGCAGUGAGGAAUAUUGGUCAAUGGGCGCAGGCCUGAACCAGCCAAGUAGCGUGAAGGAUGACUGCCCUAUGGGUUGUAAACUUCUUUUAUAAAGGAAUAAAGUCGGGUAUGUAUACCCGUUUGCAUGUACCUUAUGAAUAAGGAUCGGCUAACUCCGUG
Molecule: ribosomal RNA, 490 nt
Filed under: uncultured bacterium
Lineage: Bacteria
Description: partial 16S ribosomal RNA
Rfam family: Bacterial small subunit ribosomal RNA
Source: RNAcentral